RNAcentral lists this ribosomal RNA (445 nucleotides) under uncultured bacterium. Its description in RNAcentral is "bacterial SSU rRNA". It matches the Rfam family "Bacterial small subunit ribosomal RNA", at positions 354 to 796 of the family's 1533-position model. The record is from RNAcentral.
GUAAGGAAUAUUGGUCAAUGGACGCAAGUCUGAACCAGCCAUGCCGCGUGAAGGAUUAAGGUCCUCUGGAUUGUAAACUUCUUUUAUCUGGGACGAAAAAAGGCGAUUCUUCGUCACUUGACGGUACCAGAUGAAUAAGCACCGGCUAACUCCGUGCCAGCAGCCGCGGUAAUACGGAGGGUGCAAGCGUUAUCCGGAUUCACUGGGUUUAAAGGGUGCGUAGGCGGGCAGUUAAGUCAGUGGUGAAAUCCUUGAGCUCAACUCGAGAACUGCCAUUGAUACUAUCUGUCUUGAAUAUUGUGGAGGUAAGCGGAAUAUGUCAUGUAGCGGUGAAAUGCUUAGAUAUGACAUAGAACACCUAUUGCGAAGGCAGCUUACUACGCAUAUAUUGACGCUGAGGCACGAAAGCGUGGGGAUCAAACAGGAUUAGAUACCCGAGUAGUCC